This is a long non-coding RNA of Salarias fasciatus (jewelled blenny), 118 nucleotides long. RefSeq lists it as uncharacterized. NCBI's taxonomy places the organism in Eukaryota, Metazoa, Chordata, Actinopteri, Blenniiformes, Blenniidae. The transcript is spliced from 3 exons. The record is from RefSeq and is a predicted model, not a curated record.
AAAGACGUACAGACCGGAUGUCAAGGCUGCUGUGAGGCAAAGACCAGAGUUAUUUAGCCAUGCUUAAAUCUCUCAGAGGACGUUAAAUGUCAUGCCUGAUUAAAACCUUAUGACAGCA